GGAAUAUUGGACAAUGGGCGCAAGCCUGAUCCAGCCAUGCCGCGUGUGUGAAGAAGGCCUUCGGGUUGUAAACCGCUUUUGUCAGGGAAGAAAUCUCCUGAGCUAAUACCUCGGGGGGAUGACGGUACCUGAAGAAUAAGCACCGGCUAACUACGUGCCAGCAGCCGCGGUAAACCGUAGGACGCAAGCGUUAUCCGGAAUUACUGGGCGUAAAGGGCGCGCAGGCGGUUGUUUAAGUUAGGCAUGAAAGCUCCCUGGCUAAACCGGGAGAGGAUGUCUGAUACUGGACGACUAGAGUACGUUAGAGGGGUGUAGAAUUCCGCGUGUAGUGGUGAAAUGCGUAGAGAUGCGGAGGAAUACCAGAGGCGAAGGCGGCACCCUGGGACGAGACUGACGCUGAGGCGCGAAAGCAUGGGUAGCGAA
RNAcentral lists this ribosomal RNA (423 nucleotides) under uncultured bacterium. RNAcentral's name for it is "bacterial SSU rRNA". It matches the Rfam family "Bacterial small subunit ribosomal RNA", at positions 358 to 772 of the family's 1533-position model. The record is from RNAcentral.